AGUGAACGCUGGCGGCAGGCCUAACACAUGCAAGUCGAGCGGCAGCGCGUCCGACCACCCUCGGGCGGUCGGAUGGCGGCGAGCGGCGGACGGGUGAGGAAUGCAUCGGAAUCUGCCUCGUUGUGGGGGAUAACGUAGGGAAACUUACGCUAAUACCGCAUACGACCUACGGGUGAAAGUGGGGGACCUUCGGGCCUCACGCGAUGAGAUGAGCCGAUGCCGGAUUAGCUAGUUGGCGGGGUAAAGGCCCACCAAGGCGACGAUCCGUAGCUGGUCUGAGAGGAUGAUCAGCCACACUGGAACUGAGACACGGUCCAGACUCCUACGGGGAGGCAGCAGGUA
Molecule: ribosomal RNA, 342 nt
Filed under: uncultured bacterium
Lineage: Bacteria
Description: bacterial SSU rRNA
Rfam family: Bacterial small subunit ribosomal RNA
Source: RNAcentral